GACGAACCGUGCGAACGUUGUUCGGAAUCACUGGGCUUAAAGGGCGCGUAGGCGGACUGCCAAGUCCGGGGUGAAAUCCUCCGGCUUAACCGGAGAAUUGCCUGGGAUACUGGCGGUCUUGAGGGAGGUAGGGGCACGCGGAACUUCCGGUGGAGCGGUGAAAUGCGUUGAUAUCGGAAGGAACGCCGGUGGCGAAAGCAGCGUGCUGGCCCUCUUCUGACGCUGAGGCGCGAAAGCCAGGGGAGCGAACGGG
RNAcentral lists this ribosomal RNA (253 nucleotides) under uncultured bacterium. RNAcentral describes it as "partial 16S ribosomal RNA". It matches the Rfam family "Bacterial small subunit ribosomal RNA", at positions 524 to 776 of the family's 1533-position model. The record is from RNAcentral.